UUUUUCUUGAACCCCGAAAUUUUCUCUUUUUUUUUUCAUUUUCUUGAACCCCAAAAUUUUCUUUCGCGCAAAUGAUCCCGGAUCACUGCAUUUGAACCCCGACAUCUUGGUUGCCAAAAUAAUGAACCCCAUUCUCCAUUUUGAACCCCAGUCGCCUGACGAUAACUUGUGAUCGCCAUUAUGAACCCCGUUCUCCAGAAAAUUCCGCAACAUUUCCCUUUCUCCAUUUGAACCCCG
This 237-nucleotide long non-coding RNA is filed under the name Lathyrus oleraceus (garden pea). Its description in RNAcentral is "Pisum sativum (pea) long non-coding RNA (PSAT_LNC040827)". The record is from RNAcentral. Lineage: Eukaryota; Viridiplantae; Streptophyta; Magnoliopsida; Fabales; Fabaceae.